Molecule: long non-coding RNA, 3763 nt
Organism: Ornithodoros turicata
Lineage: Eukaryota; Metazoa; Arthropoda; Arachnida; Ixodida; Argasidae
Exons: 3
Source: RefSeq, a predicted model, not a curated record
UAGAUACGAAACCCGAGCCGAUCGAACGGCUGCAUCUGCAUGGCUGAAUCAGUCUAGUCCGGCGCCAUCUUUGUUUUUGUGAGCUCGGUGUUUGCACGUGAGAUCACCGUUUUCUUCGCACGCGUCCGCUUUCUCAAAAUGUGUUGUAUGAGGUGGAUUGCGAAGCAGCAGUGGGAUAUUUUCCCUGAAUGGGCUAUGCAGAUCCUAGAGUAGGAGCGAGUCUUCUCACAGAAUCGAGACAAUCAAGAUGGCAUCGAAAGGCAGCCCUGCCGUGUCCUCGUUGUGUGUUGGAUAGAAGAAGAACCUCCGGUUGAGGACCACAUUUCGCGUUGAAGACGACGAAUACGUUGGGGGAACCGGGGCGAGCAGUAACACGCGGGCAAGCAGUAUACCUGCUCGAAAAGGACGACUCAAGUUUCAGUGCAGGCCGCGACUUUUACUUGGUGUGUGUGAGCUUGUGCCUUUAUUGUCAUCAACCAAGGAACUUCUCUGACACAAUUCGUGAGAAAAGAACGAUGCGCACUGCACAGCAGCUAGCUAGGUCGGUGAGAAGCAGAUUCCGAAGGGGAUUAGCCGAUGAGGCUUCGUUAAGGAUCCUGACCAUUUCGCUCAGAUUCACUCCAGACAAGAACUCCUGAUUGUAUACCCCAGGAGCAACAAGGGAGGUCAUGUCUGAACUUGCACGUCAGGACCAGAAAGCAGUUUCAGCAGGGCAGCACAGGACAAGAUGCUGAGGACACAGUGACCACCGUGCAACUGAAGUCUUGCCUGUGUCCCAUGUGAUGAACAGUUGUCUACCCAUAGUUUUCUACAUUACAUACUACCUGCCUGUGGAACCCCCCAGCUCUUAUGUACAGGUAUCCGCACAGUUAACUAAUCUCCAGCUCCUGUGGCUUUGCCCCGAUAAGCGCCCAACUAACGGCUGACGACGCAAACACUAGUGAACUCGUCCAGAGGUGGCGGGAUUUUUCUUCUACUGCAUUCCUGUGCGCACUCGUGCUAUAAGACAAAAACAUACACGCGCGCAACAGAAUAGCAGAAAAAAAGAUAAGAAGUCUGCAAUCUUCAUCUUUUUUUCUUUGUGUGUGUGUCUCAUACGACAUACCUUCGUUUGUAAGCGUGAGUUGGGCCCACCCCUGGACGAGGUCACUUGUGUUUGCGUCGCCAGCCGCUAGUUGGGCACUUAUCGGAGCAAAGCCACGGGAGCGGGAGAUGGGUUAUCUGUACAGAUACCUGUACAUAAAAAAGAUUUAGGACAUUUAGCAAAAGCUCGGUAUACCUGAGCAAAGCUCCCAGAAUUUUUUCAACUUUGCACAGCUGAGAAUUUAAUUACUUUUACAGCUGUCAUAUCUUAGUACUUGCAUUUUCCUCAAGUAAAUCUUGGUCCCUGUUGCAAACGCCCUUGCCAAACACAUGCCAUGUUUUCCGGUCCAUAAAAUAGUCUUAUUCAGUGCCGGAUUUAGAGGAGGGCUGACGGGGCACUUGUCCCGGGGCCCCCACCACUGUAAUUCCGGCACUGGUCUUAUUACUGAUGUCAGGCCACAGAGACAGUAGUCAGUAAUUUAGAUAGCUAUUUGGAUUUCUACCUUUUAUACCUUAGAUAUUUUGAAUUUACCUCAAGUACAAACAGUUUUGCUUUUAGGCUGCAGCAGAGCGCUCCUUUGUGUUCCUAUUGACCUUUUGAUGGGCUUGCUGGUGGUUAACGAAUUUACACUCAGUCUUCUGUGCUGCUGUGCGCACAAAGGUCAUGUGCCAUAACGACAUUAUGUACAGCUUCUAUAAAGAUUUUCCAAUUUUGGAAUAUGUCCUGUACGCCUUAGCAAGCCUCACACAAAUUUCGUAAGUUUUAGUGCUUCACGUUGCUUAUAGUUUAGUUAGUCGUGUUUACAACUAUUCAUCUCGAUUGGUUGUGUUUGUCACAUUCAUUUUACCGGUGAACAUCCAGAUCCAAUUGAGUAACAAGCAAUCUGUUUUGCAUGCUGUUUUUUCAUACCUGUUGCAAAAAUCUUUGCCAAACAAGAGCAUCGUGUACUAUACAAGCACGGUUGUCUGAGAUAUGCAUCUUUUCCAAAUUUUCUUGUUGUCCUUUCUGUGUCCUAUUCUUUUCCAAGGUGACAAUGGGGAAUUGUGUGGCCACAGGCUGCAGCUUUUAGACAACUGUGUCCAGUUAUUUUCGUCCAUAAAAAGGCACAGUAUAGGGAGUGUGCGAUAAACUGGUGGCGCCGCGAUGCGGCCUCCGGAGAAAGUACCUCGCGUGAUAGCCGCCGGGUAGCUAGCUUUGUUUACAUGUGAAGUGCGGGUGUCUUUUUUUGCUACACUGGAACUGUUGGAUCGCUAACUGUGACAGCACCUAAAAGAACUCUUCAUUAGGGACCUGAUGUUUCAUUUCUCGUGAUUUCUAUGCUUCCAAUACCACCGAGGUCACUAGACUGGCAGCGAAUAGCGUUUGUGACGCGCGUUCGGCCAUUGCAUGAGGUGUGCACAACAUAUUCUAUUUCUUUUGUUCUAGUUUCAAUGAAACUGAAUGAGGACCUGCAAAAUGAUCAAUUAUUUACAGUUGCCACUUUCGUGACAGUGAAACGCCGCUGGAUCGUGUUACUGAUUGAGGUGUUUCAUCGCCAGUGCCCAGAGACGAUAUUGCUCACGGUAAUCUGGUUGACGAGUCUCACAGUGAGAACGGAAGUUCUACGUUGUCCAAAAGGUUUAGUUUUAAUAUUUACGCACCAACCAUUUCACAGCUGUCGUGCCGCAAGCCUAUGGCGGUAACCGAGGUAAAAACUCAUAUAAUUUCUUCUUUGAGUAUCUCUUUAGCGUUUUGUAUCUGAAGAUACUGGAAAAACUGCAGUACAAGUUUAGACAAUAAGUUGUGACCUCACGUGUUUAUUUGUAUGGAUAAAACGGACGCAGGGUGUAGAUUUCUGUGACGAAGCUAUGUGUGUGCAAAGAGGACGAAAGGAAUACAAGACUCAGUCAAAAACAUGUUACAAGUGGCUGAAAUCAGAGAAAUACACGUAUAUAGCCUUCGCUAGCAAGCCAAGAUUUUGUGAGGCGUCAAAUAACCAUCCUCUCGACGUAUCACUUACAGGUGUUUUGACCAGACAGACGCGAGUGGCUGUUCUCUUUCUGCACUGUUAGAUGCAUUAUAAAUACGGUGGUUGCUUCUGUGCAGUUUGUCUCAAUUCUCUUCGUUCGCGCCCCAGAAAGGUUCCACAUUAUUUGCACUUCGAAAAUUAGCCCUUCUAAUUACGGCGGUCGCCACGCAAGCUACGGUUCCACUUCAGAAUGCAUAGAACGGGCGACGUGGUAUCACGUCGGAUACUUCCAAGACCGCCACUGGCGGCGCUGUCGCGACGGAGCAGCGCGCCCCCUUUAGGUGUCGCACGGUCCCUAUAUGUGCCUUUUUGUUACCUCAGUGGUUUUUAUGCCCUUACAGUUUAGUUUUUUAUACAUGUGUAUGUACUAUUAGCAUUUACCUAAAGCUACAGUUUUACCGAUGCCUUCAGGGCAAAUCAGAGGACUCUUUUUUAUGAUAGUGAGCUUAUCGACGAUCUCGCUGGUGCUCUAGGUUCACCCUGUACGCAAAUAUAUGUAUUGCCAUCUUGAUAUGUAUCUCAGAAUUUUUUGUUUUCUAAUUUACAUCUUAUAUACGUUCUUCGCAAUAUUUUGCUACCUUGCCUUACAUUUGCUGUUGAUGUGUGAGGUUAUUUUGCUUCCAUCUACUGGAAGGUUUUUAAGAAUAAACCUAGUUAUUCUUACAUUUGCA